Formica exsecta is the source of this 459-nucleotide long non-coding RNA. RefSeq lists it as uncharacterized. The transcript has 2 exons. Lineage: Eukaryota; Metazoa; Arthropoda; Insecta; Hymenoptera; Formicidae. The record is from RefSeq and is a predicted model, not a curated record.
CGCCAUGCUUGGUUACUAACGCCAAGUGAGUCACAGCCAAUACCAGAGCUGCCACUCUGGCCUCUAGCAGCCUGGCAUCCAAUGGUGGAUACAGACUGCGGACAACAUCGUCUACACGAGGCGGUAUACGUCGGGCAACCUGAUGGGACAGUGUUACUAUUGACAGUUCCAGCAAUAGUGGUAAGACUGGCUGCAAGAGCAUGGCAAGAACGAAGCACUGCUAUACAAGGUGGAGCCAAGCCAGUAGCAUCAUCUACCCAUCUAAAAUGCAAUAAUAUCAUCUUUCUAAUAAAUUGUGUUUAAACAUUUAAAUUUUCACAAAAUUAAUCAACACUGUAAGAAAAUAAGAAAUGUAAACAAUCCAUCUUGAUAAAUUUUAUAGCAUAAAUUAGCUUAAUUUUAUGAAGAUGUCAGAAACCUAAUAUAAAUUUGAAUAAAAAUAAACUAAUGUAAAUAUGA